GGGACCCGCACAAGCAGCGGAGCGUGUGGUUUAAUUCGUUGCUACACGAAGAACCUUACCUGGGUUUGACAUAUAGGUUGUAGGGAACUGAAAGGGACCGACCCUUCGGGGAGCCUAUACAGGUGUUGCAUGGCUGUCGUCAGCUCGUGUCGUGAGAUGUUCGGUUAAGUCCGCUAACGAGCGCAACCCUCGUCGUAUGUUAUAUGUGUCAUACGAGACUGCCGGUAAAAGCCGGAGGAAGGUGAGGAUGAUGUCAAGUCAGCAUGACCUUUAUAUCCAGGGCUACACACACGCUACAAUGGUCUGUACAAUGGGUAGCCAAGCCGCGAGGCGGAGCCAAUCCUGAAAGCAGGCCUCAGUUCAGAUUGCAGUCUGCAACUCGACUGCAUGAAGCCGGAGUUGCUAGUAACCGCAGGUCAGCAAUACUGCGGUGAAUACGUUCCCGGGUCUU
This 451-nucleotide ribosomal RNA is filed under the name uncultured Anaerolineaceae bacterium. RNAcentral describes it as "bacterial SSU rRNA". It matches the Rfam family "Bacterial small subunit ribosomal RNA", at positions 916 to 1382 of the family's 1533-position model. Lineage: Bacteria; Bacillati; Chloroflexota; Anaerolineae; Anaerolineales; Anaerolineaceae. The record is from RNAcentral.